CACCAGAUAAGACAGCUGAAUGAUAGUCGGGCUGAAGACUCUACUUGACUAGCUGAGAGGAGGUGCAUGGCCGUCGUCAGUUCGUACUGUGAAGCAUCCUGUUAAGUCAGGCAACGAGCGAGACCCACGCCAACAGUUGCCAGCUCGUCCUCCGGGAUGGUGGGGACACUGUUGGGACCGCUCUGCUAAAGAGGAGGAAGGAAUGGGCAACGGUAGGUCAGCAUGCCCCGAAUUAUCUGGGCUACACGCGGGCUACAAUGGGUGGGACAAUGGGUAUCGACACCGAAAGGUGAAGGCAAUCUCCUAAACCCAUCCGUAGUUCGGAUUGUGGGCUGCAACCCGCCCACAUGAAGCUGGAAUCUGUAGUAAUCGUGUCUCAAAAUGGCACGGUGAAUAUGUCCCUGCUCCUU
RNAcentral lists this ribosomal RNA (410 nucleotides) under uncultured Methanomicrobiales archaeon. RNAcentral's name for it is "bacterial SSU rRNA". It matches the Rfam family "Archaeal small subunit ribosomal RNA", at positions 928 to 1338 of the family's 1478-position model. The record is from RNAcentral. Lineage: Archaea; Methanobacteriati; Methanobacteriota; Methanomicrobia; Methanomicrobiales.